Non-coding RNA from Cyanistes caeruleus (blue tit), 222 nucleotides. The record is from RefSeq and is a predicted model, not a curated record. NCBI's taxonomy places the organism in Eukaryota, Metazoa, Chordata, Aves, Passeriformes, Paridae.
GCUCGUUCGGUACUCCCGGGUCACAGCCGGCUUCGGUCCGGCUCGGGCUGCAGGGAAUAGAGUAGGAGGCCGGAUCUCCCACACCUCUCCCGUGUUUCUGGAAAUGGAUCAGCGCUGCAAUACCCGCUCCUCCUGAGAAUCCACUACACAGAUCACGACAAGGACAUCACUAAGCAAGUUCUGUACAGUUUAUUGAAGAAUAAAGUAAAACUGCUUAUUACA